Molecule: ribosomal RNA, 497 nt
Filed under: uncultured bacterium
Lineage: Bacteria
Description: partial 16S ribosomal RNA
Rfam family: Bacterial small subunit ribosomal RNA
Source: RNAcentral
GAUGAACGCUGGCGGCGUGCCUAAUACAUGCAAGUCGAGCGAACAGACGAGGAGCUUGCUCCUUUGACGUUAGCGGCGGACGGGUGAGUAACACGUGGAUAACCUACCUAUAAGACUGGGAUAACUUCGGGAAACCGGAGCUAAUACCGGAUAACAUGUUGAACCGCAUGGUUCAACAGUGAAAGAAGGUCUUGCUGUCACUUAUAGAUGGAUCCGCGCCGCAUUAGCUAGUUGGUAAGGUAACGGCUUACCAAGGCAACGAUGCGUAGCCGACCUGAGAGGGGGAUCGGCCACACGGGAAGUGAGACACGGUCCAGACUCCGACGGGAGGCAGCAGUAGGGAAUCGUCCGCAAUGGGCGAAAGCCUGACGGAGCAACGCCGCGUGAGUGAAGAAGGUCUUCGGAUCGUAAAACUCUGUUAUUAGGGAAGAACAAAUGUGUAAGUAACUAUGCACGUCUUGACGGUACCUAAUCAGAAAGCCACGGCUAACUACGUG